Small nuclear RNA from Fistulifera solaris, 109 nucleotides. It matches the Rfam family "U5 spliceosomal RNA". Rfam says of the family: U5 RNA is a component of both types of known spliceosome. The precise function of this molecule is unknown, though it is known that the 5' loop is required for splice site selection and p220 binding, and that both the 3' stem-loop and the Sm site are important for Sm protein binding and cap methylation. Lineage: Eukaryota; Bacillariophyta; Bacillariophyceae; Naviculales; Stauroneidaceae. The record is from Rfam.
UUGCCUACCGUCUCACUAAAAUUGAUUCUUCUCUUGCAUUUUUCCAGAGAAGACUGUGGUGAGGCGGGAUCGAUGGGCCACAUGUCAUUCUUUGAAAUCCCUUGUGGAU